Molossus molossus (Pallas's mastiff bat) is the source of this 146-nucleotide small nucleolar RNA. RefSeq annotates it as small nucleolar RNA SNORA67. NCBI's taxonomy places the organism in Eukaryota, Metazoa, Chordata, Mammalia, Chiroptera, Molossidae. The transcript has a single exon. The record is from RefSeq and is a predicted model, not a curated record.
UACCAAGGUGAUUCCCUCUCCAAGAGGCCUAAUAGUGCCCCUCUUCAGGAAAGUAGCAACUUGGUAUAAAAUCUGGCAUGCCUCAGGUUUUUCAGUGGAGAAGGUGAAUUGUCAUUGCCUUUGCCUUUCUUUGGCUGCCUACAUAU